Molecule: unclassified non-coding RNA, 604 nt
Filed under: Hevea brasiliensis (rubber tree)
Lineage: Eukaryota; Viridiplantae; Streptophyta; Magnoliopsida; Malpighiales; Euphorbiaceae
Source: RNAcentral
CAUUGUGAGCAAAUGCUAGAAUGCUUAGUUUUAUGGAAAAAGAGAACUUCUAAAUAGUACAUUUACGAUUCAUUCUAGUCUGUUCGCAUUAGAAGCAACAUUAAAGCAGAACUUGAGAUACUAAAAUCUUUCGUCAAGUACAUAGUAAAGGAAUGUCCUGUGUAACUCAACUCAACAAGCAGUGUAAACCAACCAAAUGAAAAACAUUCUGCAACUCUUGUAUUAGAAAAUCAACAAUUAAACAUUUUGCAUGAUUGAUAACCAGCUAUUAGUAAACGUAGGUUCUCAUAGAUAAUAAUAAACAUCAACUACAAAAAUAUAACAAACAUCAACCAGCACGACGAGUUCUUGAACGUAGUUUUCGCUGAAACAUCGAUGACGGGCGUCGUAAACUUGGCGAAUAGUCUUACUAUCGGCAACUACUCCGCUACCCGCUAGACCCACUGCAGCACAGAGCAGAACGCCGCCGCCACCAUUCCAUUCAUCGCGGCGAAUGCUUUGCCAUGUUAGAUAGUGGCACCUAUUUCUGUUGCGCUGUCUAUCUUCUCUCGUUCUUCCAGAUUGUUUUUCUCGCCGCUUCUCAUUCUUCACUUGUCUGGUUGAG